RNAcentral lists this ribosomal RNA (207 nucleotides) under uncultured bacterium. RNAcentral describes it as "partial 16S ribosomal RNA". It matches the Rfam family "Bacterial small subunit ribosomal RNA", at positions 568 to 774 of the family's 1533-position model. The record is from RNAcentral.
CGUGUAGGCGGUUUGUACAGUCAGAUGUGAAAUCCCCGGGCUUAACCUGGGAGCUGCAUUUGAGACGUGCAGACUAGAGUGUGAGAGAGGGUUGUGGAAUUCCCAGUGUAGAGGUGAAAUUCGUAGAUAUUGGGAAGAACACCGGUGGCAAAGGCGGCAACCUGGCUCAUUACUGACGCUGAGGCGCGAAAGCGUGGGGAGCAAACA